GGCAGAUUCACCAGGUGGUGGCUAGUGCUUCUGGGGCUCUAGUUUGUUGGUUCAAUUCCGUCAUCUGCCGCCA
This 73-nucleotide transfer RNA is filed under the name Citrobacter freundii. RNAcentral's name for it is "tRNA-Gln". Lineage: Bacteria; Pseudomonadati; Pseudomonadota; Gammaproteobacteria; Enterobacterales; Enterobacteriaceae. The record is from RNAcentral. RNAcentral also lists the same sequence under 35 other names.